This 639-nucleotide long non-coding RNA is filed under the name Triticum aestivum (bread wheat). Its description in RNAcentral is "long non-coding RNA (TAES_LNC021884)". The record is from RNAcentral. Lineage: Eukaryota; Viridiplantae; Streptophyta; Magnoliopsida; Poales; Poaceae.
UUCUAGGACUAUCUUUAUUAUCAAGAUAAUACCCCACACAUAGGUCUAAUGUUGUGAGAGUAAGAUCUCAUAUCCAUUCCUAUUUCCAUAUGAUUGUUGACAUCCAAAAAGGUUGUUAAAGGUCUGGUUAAAAAACUAGAAUUUAACUCGAGAACAAUAAAUCAUUUGACUCUUUGUCGAGUGCACAUCCCCUCGUGGGUUUGAUACCCAGGGUCACUCCUAGGGAAAAGGUAAGGGAACCUUCUACUAUCCAAAUAGUGUCUCAAAGGGCAUUGGUAUCCUUUGCUGCCUCUGUUGGGGGUGUGUCUGGGUCCAAGUCCACCACUUGGUAUGCUCUAGGAAGGGAGCGUAAGGGAGGCACACUCAAGAUCUCACCAUAAACUUUUGGUGCCACACACGGCGGAACAUAUGAGGUCGGUGCACCCAGCACUGAUGAGCUCGCUCGAACUGGUUGGGCCUGAUGGCCUGACUGGUUUCUUCCUCUGCCCAAGACGCAAAGAGGUCCGUCAACAAGUUCUCCCUAAUAAGAAAAUAAGGAAAAUCAUGUCAACUCACUUUCCAAUUGGCCAUCGCUUGGCUGGCCGUUUCUCCUGCCGCAUCACAGUAGUGGAUGCUCCUGGCACCGCGGUGAAGCCAACC